Non-coding RNA from Paramuricea clavata, 158 nucleotides. NCBI's taxonomy places the organism in Eukaryota, Metazoa, Cnidaria, Anthozoa, Malacalcyonacea, Plexauridae. The record is from the annotation of a GenBank genome assembly.
UAUAUAUAUGUUAUUUACCGGCUGCGAGGUCCGGAUGAGAAAAACUGUGCCCGAGGUCUUGAAAACGGCCCGAGCCCGAAGGGCGAGGUACGUUUUCAAGACCGAGGGCACAGUUUUUCUCAUCCGGACCGACGCUGCCGGUAAAUAACGUGUUUAUU